Molecule: long non-coding RNA, 2290 nt
Organism: Triticum dicoccoides
Lineage: Eukaryota; Viridiplantae; Streptophyta; Magnoliopsida; Poales; Poaceae
Exons: 3
Source: RefSeq, a predicted model, not a curated record
CUGUACAUAAAAUGUGCCCGUUCCCUCUUGCUUGGCAGAUGGAUGCACCCAACUGCACGUUUUACUUCUAAAUACGAGCCAAUGAAUCUGCCCCCAGUCUCUAGCUCAGCGUUGUCAAGCUCAGCCUGAAGCCCGACAUGUACACCAGAAUUCGUUCGCCACGUUUUACAACAAUGUAUAGAAGACAGGAAGAGAAAUAUUGACCUGAUUCAGCACAGAUCAAUCUUGGGCAGCUGUUGUUUUUUAUACAGCUUAGUGCCGAUAGGCAUACAAGGAGAUCGAUACAGAUUCGGAGCUGAUCAAGGAUAUUUUACGUGUGCUUGGGGGUGCAUCUGGUCUUAAGACGAAUAUUCAGAUGGGUAGUGCUAUACCAAUCCAAUGUUCGGUCGACGACUUGGCUGUCGUCCAGGACCAUUUGCCUUCUGAGAAUUGCUGAUCAACUCCGGGAUGGAAGGUUGAAGUCAUGACACGGGCUAGCUGAGCGGGUAAGGUCAUUUUCACAUCUUUGUUUGUGUAUUUGGCUAUGGCCAUGGAUCUUCCAAAUUGGGCUUUGAGGGCAAUUGAUAAAUCAGAAGGGGCUUCUUGUGGAGAGGAAGGAAGGAGGCAAGAGGUGGUCAUUGUUUGAUUGCAUGGCUGAUGGUUUGCCGUUCCAAGGAGCUCGAAAGGUCUGGGUAUUCUUGAUUUAAAACUUGUGGUUGGGCACGGAUGCGACGGCUAUGGAUGCAUAAAACCCAACCGGAUAAACCUUGGGACCAGAUACACUAUACUAGUUCAUCCUUGUAUCAAGGCUCUCUUCUCCACCGCUAUUAUCUCGGUGGUGGGUGAUGGUCGUAACACCCUUUUCUGCAUGGAUGGUUGGAGGGGCAGUCCAUUGUUGAUCUUGCUCUGCACCUUUUUGCCCUUAUCCCUAAAGCAUCGGGGCAUCGGGCUAAUAGCCGUACGGUUCAUGAUGCACUGGUGGGACGUUGUUGGGUGCAGGAUAUUCAAGGCGCUCUCUUGGUGGCUGCUUAUCCGAAUAUUUAAAUAUAUGGGAUCUUGUGUCCGAAGUGGAGAUCCAGAAUGACAUUCAAGAUAAGCAUUCUUGGAGAUUUGCUGGAGAUGGUUAGUAUUCGGUGAAAACGGCCUGCAAAGCGUAAGUGUUCUUUAUUGGUUUUAGUUGGUCUGGAACAUUUGGAGGUUGAUUUGGAAGCCACGUGCCCCUAAGAAAUGCCAUUUCUUCCUGUGGUUGGUUGCCCAUAAUAAGUGCUGGACGGCUGACUGCCUUUAACGGAGGGGUUCGCCACAUUUCAGAUUGUUGCUCAUUUUGUGAGCAGGAAGAGUAUAAGAUUCAUCACAUCCUUGUCUCUUCUGUGUUUGCAAGAGACUUGGUCCCUCCUGUUCAGACAUCUUGCCCAUAAUAAGUGCUGGACGGCUGAUCGCCUUUAACGGAGGGGUUCGCCACAUUUCAGAUUGUUGCUCAUUUUGUGAGCAGGAAGAGUAUAAGAUUCAUCACAUCCUUGUCUCUUGUGUGUUUGCAAGAGACUUGGUCCCUCCUGUUCAGACAUCUUGGCCUCCCCGACUUGGCGCCCCAAUCACCUUCUGCUCAUUUAUUUGAUUGGUGGUCCAGAACCAUCUCUACGGUGCCAGGUUCUAUGCAGGGUGGUUGGAAAUCCUUAAUCACUCUUUGUGCUUGGAUGAUUUAGAAGCAUCGAAAUGACUGUGUCUUCAGCGGGAGUUCCCAAUGUCCAAAGGGUGCUACUGGCCAUUAAAGAUGAAGCACAACUUUGGUCCUUAGACUGAUCAUGGGAGAGUCCUGGUCGUGGUCAUGGUUUGAGUGUAGGUCGUCUUUUUCUUGCUUCUGACCCGUCCGUUUUAGCUGUUUAGUGGGGCUUGUAUGUACAUUUAUUCUUAAUGCAAUGAUACACAACUCUCCUCUGUAUUCGAGAAAAAAAAAGUAAAUCUUAAUGUAGUUGAGAUGAUUCGAUUGGAAAUGGAGUUUGAUCAGUGGGUUUUGAGUGUUGUUUUAGUUCAGUUUUCUCCUGAAGAUAUCUGAUAACACUUCACACUAGCACAGGUGAGAUCCAGGUGAUCGCUAGUUAUGGGAGUGCGCUCAAAGGAUAUAAACAGGGUUUCACAAACAAAAAGGGGAAUAAGUUGUCACUCUCCCCGUCAUGUAAAAGAACACCAUGAAACAAUGACAAGGAACUAAACAUAUUGCGUAGCCACAGUCCACGAUUUAUCUAAUGCGAAGUCUUUGUAUGCUUUUCUACAAUUUUUAUGCAAAUUCACAAAGCACCAGUGGUUACUUAAC